Molecule: non-coding RNA, 595 nt
Organism: Ciona intestinalis (vase tunicate)
Lineage: Eukaryota; Metazoa; Chordata; Ascidiacea; Phlebobranchia; Cionidae
Source: RefSeq, a predicted model, not a curated record
UGUGUUCUUGCAUUUUUAUAUUUCGAUUAGUGCACACAAGUCAUUGCCACAACAUGCAAAAUCUAUAUAUAUAAAAAGAAGGUAAUUGAAAGAUACAUUCUUACAAAUCCAAAACUUUUUGCCCAAUCAAGAUAAAAGCGGACAGUUCAUUUGACAUCAAUUCAUACGAUUGAUCCAUGGAUUAUAUGAGGAUGAACAAACUUUAAAUGACAAAAAAAUGAUCUUGAUUAUGAAGUCAUCUAGCUCAAACACCCACAAGACAAACAUGGCGAUUUACUAUGUAUUGGAUAUGGAUUCAAAUUUUUUUCAGAUAUCCGGCACUCUAAGUUGCAGAAUUCAUGAUUUAUUUACAGCUCGUUCCAAUCUGAUCAGCAAUUCCAGUUUCAAUGGCUAACAAAGACAACACAUACGCUGAUUCUUUAUUUGGGGAAAUAAGACUAUUCAGAGUGUAAGAGUAAAUGUGCAGAUUGUGCAGCAGUGGUCGUGAUGAAUGUUGGAAAGCUUUGCAAGUGACUUUGCCAUGCCAACUAUGGUGGCAUUGAUUGCAAUGUCUUAGUUCCAAAUAUGGCAUCAUCGGGUUGCUUGUAAUGAGAUA